Long non-coding RNA from Sinocyclocheilus anshuiensis, 329 nucleotides. RefSeq lists it as uncharacterized. The transcript is spliced from 4 exons. Lineage: Eukaryota; Metazoa; Chordata; Actinopteri; Cypriniformes; Cyprinidae. The record is from RefSeq and is a predicted model, not a curated record.
CCAGGCCUGCACAAUUCUCCGCCGGGAGAUUGUAUUGGACCUAUAUGUAUAGGAAAAGAUUAAACAAAGUUUCGGUCAAAUCACCGUCAGACAGCCGUUAUAAACAUGAAUUCAAACCAAGAAGAACAAAGAGAGAAGCUGAUGGAGAUGUUAACAUGUUUUUCUAUGUUCAUCUAUUUCAGAGAGCACUUUUAAAGUUUUACCACCACCUUAUCAGAGUGCUGAAAAGUGGAAGUCAGAGGAAACAUGCCCAACUUGCUGCAAAACAAUAACACAAAAGGUCUGGACUAUGGAGUGCAGCAUUACUUUUUGGUCAUCUACAUUCAGAU